AUGGUUGAAACCGAGAAACAUUUGGUAUUUCCAUUGGUAUACAAAAUUAUUGAGUUGGCUUUGAUAUUGCCAGUGUCUACGACAUCUAUUGAGAGAGCUUUUUCAGCGGUGAAGAUUAUCAAGAUUAAACUACGUAGAAAGAUCAAUAAUGAAUGGUUCAAUGGCUUGAUGAUAUGUUACACUUAG
RNAcentral lists this ribosomal RNA (186 nucleotides) under Triticum aestivum (bread wheat). Its description in RNAcentral is "partial small subunit ribosomal RNA". Lineage: Eukaryota; Viridiplantae; Streptophyta; Magnoliopsida; Poales; Poaceae. The record is from RNAcentral.